RNAcentral lists this long non-coding RNA (281 nucleotides) under Panax ginseng (ginseng). RNAcentral describes it as "long non-coding RNA (PGIN_LNC014126)". Lineage: Eukaryota; Viridiplantae; Streptophyta; Magnoliopsida; Apiales; Araliaceae. The record is from RNAcentral.
UUUUAAUGUUGAAUAUGUAGAAGAUCAGUCUCCUUCUCUAGCGAAUCAAAGACGAAUUGGUUAUAACGACGGUUUUUUGAGAUAUAGUAACGGUUCGAAUCGUCGCCAUAGUUAUGUCGUCGGUUUUGUAUGCUAUAGCGACGGAAAAAUUAGUCGUUAUAGUCGGUUCAUUUUUUGGUUCGCUCCCUAUGGUUGGGCAAAAGCUUUGGCUAUUCAAUCUUCUCUAUCCUUCUCUAGUGGGUGUGGAUUUAAAAAUGAAAAAUUAUAUGCGACAUGAUAAU